Molecule: ribosomal RNA, 1470 nt
Filed under: uncultured bacterium
Lineage: Bacteria
Description: partial 16S ribosomal RNA
Rfam family: Bacterial small subunit ribosomal RNA
Source: RNAcentral
GAUGAACGCUAGCGGCAGACUUAAUACAUGUGAGUCGAGGGGCAGCGGAUCCCUCCGGGGAUGCCGGCGACCGGCGAACGGGUGAGUAACACGUAUGGAAUCUACCCUUAACUGGGGAAUAGCCUUGAGAAAUCGAGGGUAAUGCCCCAUACCAUCUUGAAAAGGCAUCUUUUCUAGAUGAAAGCUCCGGCGGUUAAGGAUGGCCAUGCGCUCCAUUAGCUUGUUGGUGAGAUAACCGCUCACCAAGGCCGCGAUGGAUAGCUGAUCUGAGAGGAUGAUCAGCCACAUUGGCACUGAGACACGGGCCAAACUCCUACGGGAGGCAGCAGUAGGGAAUCUUGGUCAAUUGGCGAAAGCCAGAACCAGUCAUGCCGCGUGCAGGAUGAAGGCCCUACGGGUCGUAAACUGCUUUUAUUCGGGAAGAAAAAGUCUGUUUCCACAGACCUUGACGGUACCGAUUGAAUAAGGACCGGCCAACUCCGUGCCAGCAGCCGCGGUAAUACGGAGGGUCCAAGCGUUAUCCGGAUUCACUGGGUUUAGAGGGUGCGCAGGCGGCCAAGUAAGUCAGUGGUGAAAGCCUUCGGCUCAACCGGAGAAUUGCCAUUGAAACUACUUGGCUUGAGUGCAGUAGAGGUAGGCGGAAUGUAGCAUGUAGCGGUGAAAUGCAUAGAUAUGCUACAGAACACCGAUAGUGAAAGCAGCUUACCACACUGUAACUGACGCUGAGGCACGAAAGCAUGGGUAGCAAACAGGAUUAGAUACCCUGGUAGUCCACGCCGUAAACGAUGAACGCUCGCCGUUGCCCCGCUCAAGGGGCAGUGGCUAAGUUAACGCGUUAAGCGUUCCACCUGGGGAGUACGAUCGCAAGGUUGAAACUCAAAGGAAUUGACGGGGGCCCGCACAAGCGGUGGAGCAUGUGGCUCAAUUCGAUGCAACGCGAAGAACCUUACCUAGGCUCGAACGCUAGAGGACCGCUCCUGAAAGGGAGCUUCCCCUUUGGGGCCUCUAGCGAGGUACUGCAUGGCUGUCGUCAGCUCGUGUCGUGAGAUGUUGGGUUAAGUCCCGCAACGAGCGUAACCCCUGUUGCUAGUUACCAUCGGGUAGUGCCGGGGACUCUAGCGAAACUGCCUGCGCAAGCAGUGAGGAAGGUGGGGAUGACGUCAAGUCAUCAUGGUCCUUACGCCUAGGGCUGCACACGUGCUACAAUGGCCGGUACAACGGGUAGCCACCUCGCGAGAGGGAGCGAAUCCCUGAAAACCGGUCCCAGUUCGGAUUGGAGUCUGCAACUCGACUCCAUGAAGCAGGAAUCGCUAGUAAUCGCGGAUCAGCAAUGCCGCGGUGAAUCCGUUCCCGGGCCUUGUACACACCGCCCGUCAAGCCAUGGAAGCUGAGAGCACCCGAAGUCCGUGACUCAACUCCGGCCUUGUGCCGGAGAGAGAGCGGCCGAAGGUGAGCUCAGUGACUGGGGCU